RNAcentral lists this ribosomal RNA (253 nucleotides) under uncultured bacterium. RNAcentral describes it as "partial 16S ribosomal RNA". It matches the Rfam family "Bacterial small subunit ribosomal RNA", at positions 524 to 776 of the family's 1533-position model. The record is from RNAcentral.
UACGUAGGGUGCGAGCGUUAAUCGGAAUUACUGGGCGUAAAGUGUGCGCAGGCGGCCGCGCAAGUCGAGUGUGAAAUCCCCGAGCUUAACUUGGGAAUUGCGCUCGAAACUAUGUGGCUGGAGUGUGGCAGAGGAAGGUGGAAUUCCACGUGUAGCGGUGAAAUGCGUAGAUAUGUGGAGGAACACCGAUGGCGAAGGCAGCCUUCUGGGCCAACACUGGCGCUCAUGCACGAAAGCGUGGGGAGCAAACAGG